Molecule: ribosomal RNA, 847 nt
Filed under: Pleosporales sp. 2 NW-2015
Lineage: Eukaryota; Fungi; Ascomycota; Dothideomycetes; Pleosporales
Description: eukaryotic LSU rRNA
Rfam family: Eukaryotic large subunit ribosomal RNA
Source: RNAcentral
AUUGCCCUAGUAACGGCGAGUGAAGCGGCAACAGCUCAAAUUUGAAAUCUGGCUUCCUUUGGGGGUCCGAGUUGUAAUUUGCAGAGGGUGCUUUGGCGUCGGCAGCGGUCUAAGUUCCUUGGAACAGGACAUCACAGAGGGUGAGAAUCCCGUACGUGGUCGCCUGCCUUCGCCGUGUAAAGCCCCUUCGACGAGUCGAGUUGUUUGGGAAUGCAGCUCUAAAUGGGAGGUAAAUUUCUUCUAAAGCUAAAUACCGGCCAGAGACCGAUAGCGCACAAGUAGAGUGAUCGAAAGAUGAAAAGCACUUUGGAAAGAGAGUCAAACAGCACGUGAAAUUGUUGAAAGGGAAGCGCUUGCAGCCAGACUUGCUCGCAGUUGCUCAUCCGGGUCCGCCCGGAGCACUCUUCUGCGAGCAGGCCAGCAUCAGUUUGGGCGACCGGAUAAAGGCCUCUGUCAUGUAUCUUCCUUCGGGAUGACCUUAUAGGGGAGGCGUAAUGCGGCCAGCCCGGACUGAGGUCCGCGCAUCUGCUAGGAUGCUGGCGUAAUGGCUGUAAGCGGCCCGUCUUGAAACACGGAUCAAGGAGUCUAACAUCUAUGCGAGUGUUUGGGUGUCAAGCCCGGGCGCGUAAUGAAAGUGAACGGAGGUGGGAACCCUCUUCGGGGGGUGCACCAUCGACCGAUCCUGAUGUCUUCGGAUGGAUUUGAGUAAGAGCAUAGCUGUUGGGACCCGAAAGAUGGUGAACUAUGCUUGAAUAGGGUGAAGCCAGAGGAAACUCUGGUGGAGGCUCGCAGCGGUUCUGACGUGCAAAUCGAUCGUCAAAUUUGGGCAUAGGGGCGAAAGACUAAU